This 491-nucleotide ribosomal RNA is filed under the name uncultured bacterium. RNAcentral's name for it is "partial 16S ribosomal RNA". It matches the Rfam family "Bacterial small subunit ribosomal RNA", at positions 28 to 507 of the family's 1533-position model. The record is from RNAcentral.
GAUGAACGCUAGCGAUAGGCUUAACACAUGCAAGUCGAGGGGUAACGUGUUGGAAGCUUGCUUCCGAUGACGACGACCGGCGGAUGGGUGCGUAACGCGUAUGCAACUUACCUCACAGUGGAGAAUAACCCGGAGAAAUCCGGACUAAUACUCCAUACACUCUUAAGUACGCCUGUACAUGAGAGGAAAGAUUUAUCGCUGUGAGAUAGGCAUGCGUCCUAUUAGGUAGUUGGUGAGGUAACGGCUCACCAAGCCGACGAUAGGUAGGGGUGCUGAGAGGCAGAUCCCCCACAUUGGGACUGAGACACGGCCCAAACUCCUACGGGAGGCAGCAGUGAGGAAUAUUGGUCAAUGGAGGAAACUCUGAACCAGCCAAGUCGCGUGAAGGAAGAAUGUCCUAAGGAUUGUAAACUUCUUUAGCGAGCGAGUAAGGACUUCCACGUGAUGGGAGUUUGAAAGUAGCUCGAGAAUAAGUAUCGGCUAACUCCGUG